UUCUGGUUGAUCCUGCCGGACCUGACUGCUAUCGGAUUGAUACUAAGCCAUGCAAGUCUUUGUAGUAAUACAAGGCAUACGGCUCAGUAACGCGUAGUCAACCUACCCUAUGGAUGGGGAUAAUCUCGGGAAACUGAGCAUAAUACCCAACAGAUCAUCAAUUCUGGAAUGGUUGAUGAUUCAAAUGAUUUUUCGCCAUAGGAUGGGACUGCGGCCUAUCAGCUUGUUGGUGAGGUAAUGGCCCACCAAGGCAAUUACAGGUACGGGCUCUGAGAGGAGAAGCCCGGAGAUGGGUACUGAGACAAGGACCCAGGCCCUAUGGGGCGCAGCAGGCGAGAAAACUUUGCAAUGUGCGAAAGCACGACAAGGUUAAUCCGAGUGAUUUCUGCUAAAGGAAUCUUUUACCAGUUCUAAAAAUACUGGCGAAUAAGGGGUGGGCAAGUUCUGGUGUCAGCCGCCGCGGUAAAACCAGCACCUCAAGUGGUCAGGAGGAUUAUUGGGCCUAAAGCAUCCGUAGCCGGCUCUGUAAGUUUUCGGUUAAAUCUAUAUGCUCAACAUAU
RNAcentral lists this ribosomal RNA (560 nucleotides) under uncultured marine group I thaumarchaeote. Its description in RNAcentral is "bacterial SSU rRNA". It matches the Rfam family "Archaeal small subunit ribosomal RNA", at positions 1 to 567 of the family's 1478-position model. The record is from RNAcentral. Lineage: Archaea; Thermoproteati; Nitrososphaerota.